UGCAGUCGAACGAGACCUUCGGGUCUAGUGGCGCACGGGUGCGUAACGCGUGGGAACCUGCCUUUAGGUUCGGAAUAACUCCCCGAAAGGGGUGCUAAUACCGAAUAAUGUCUUCGGACCAAAGAUUUAUCGCCUUUAGAUGGGCCCGCGUUGGAUUAGCUAGUUGGUGGGGUAAAGGCUCACCAAGGCGACGAUCCAUAGCUGGUCUGAGAGGAUGAUCAGCCACACUGGGACUGAGACACGGCCCAGACUCCUACGGGAGGCAGCAGUGGGGAAUAUUGGACAAUGGGCGAAAGCCUGAUCCAGCAAUGCCGCGUGAGUGAUGAAGGCCUUAGGGUUGUAAAGCUCUUUUACCCGGGAUGAUAAUGACAGUACCGGGAGAAUAAGCUCCGGCUAACUCCGUGCCAGCAGCCGCGGUAAUACGGAGGGAGCUAGCGUUGUUCGGAAUUACUGGGCGUAAAGCGCGCGUAGGCGGCUAUUCAAGUCAGGGGUGAAAUCCCGGGGCUCAACCCCGGAACUGCCCUUGAAACUGGAUGGCUAGAAUCCUGGAGAGGCGAGUGGAAUUCCGAGUGUAGAGGUGAAAUUCGUAGAUAUUCGGAAGAACACCAGUGGCGAAGGCGACUCGCUGGACAGGUAUUGACGCUGAGGUGCGAAAAGCGUGGGGAGCAAACAGGAUUAGAUACCCCUGGGUAGUCCCACGCCGUAAACGAUGAUAAACUAGCUGUCCGGGCACAUGGGUGCUUUGGGUGGCGCAGCUAACGCAUUAAGUUAUCCCGCCCUGGGGAGUACGGUCGCAAGAUUAAAACUCAAAGGAAUUGACGGGGGCCUGCACAAGCGGUGGAGCAUGUGGGUUUAAUUCGAAGCAACGCGCAGAACCUUACCAGCCUUUGACAUCCUGGUCGCGGGUAGAGGAGA
Molecule: ribosomal RNA, 915 nt
Filed under: uncultured bacterium
Lineage: Bacteria
Description: bacterial SSU rRNA
Rfam family: Bacterial small subunit ribosomal RNA
Source: RNAcentral